Molecule: ribosomal RNA, 465 nt
Filed under: uncultured bacterium
Lineage: Bacteria
Description: partial 16S ribosomal RNA
Rfam family: Bacterial small subunit ribosomal RNA
Source: RNAcentral
CCUACGGGUGGCAGCAGUAGGGAAUCUUCCACAAUGGGCACAAGCCUGAUGGAGCAACACCGCGUGAGUGAAGAAGGGUUUCGGCUCGUAAAGCUCUGUUGUUGGGGAAGAACGUCCGUGAGAGGAACUGUUCACGCAGUGACGGUAUCCAACCAGAAAGUCACGGCUAACUACGUGCCAGCAGCCGCGGUAAUACGUAGGUGGCAAGCGUUAUCCGGAAUGAUUGGGCGUAAAGCGAGCGCAGGCGGUUGUGUAGGUCUGGUGUGAAAGGCUUGGGCUUAACCGAAGCAGUGCAUCGGAAACUGGGGAACUGGAGUGCAGAAGAGGACAGUGGAACUCCAUGUGUAGCGGUGGAAUGCGUAGAUAUAUGGAAGAACACCAGUGGCGAAGGCGGCUGCCUGGUCUGCAACUGACGCUGAGGCUCGAAAGCAUGGGUAGCGAACAGGAUUAGAUACCCUUGUAGUC